RNAcentral lists this ribosomal RNA (835 nucleotides) under uncultured eukaryote. RNAcentral's name for it is "bacterial SSU rRNA". It matches the Rfam family "Eukaryotic small subunit ribosomal RNA", at positions 64 to 866 of the family's 1831-position model. The record is from RNAcentral.
UACAAACGAUUUUGUACGGUGAAACUGCGAAUGGCUCAUUACAACAGUUAUAGUUUAUUUGAUCGUGCGGUACUACGUGGAUAACCGUAGGAAUUCUAGAGCUAAUACAUGCCCCAUAGCUUUUUAUUCUCCUCCUCUUAUCUUAGGGGUGGCAAAUUAAAAGCGGGAUUUAUUAGAUCAAAAACCAAUCGCUUUUAGCGUGGCGGGAUGAAUCAUAAUAACUUUCCGAAUCGCAAGGCCGAAAUCAUAGGCCGGCGAUAUAUCAUUCAAAUUUCUGCCCUAUCAACUUUCGAUGGUAGGGUAGUGGCCUACCAUGGUGUUGACGGGUGACGGAGAAUUAGGGUUCGAUUCCGGAGAGGGAGCCUGAGAAACGGCUACCACAUCCAAGGAAGGCAGCAGGCGCGCAAAUUACCCAAUCCUGACAAAGGGAGGUAGCGACAAGAAAUAACGAUAGUAGUCCUUUUCAGGUCUACUCAUUGGAAUGAGGAUAAUUUACACCCCUUCUCGAGUAUCCAUUGGAGGGCAAGCCUGGUGCCAGCAGCCGCGGUAAUUCCAGCUCCAAUAGUGUAUAUUAAAGUUGUUGCAGUUAAAAAGCUCGUAGUCGAAUGUAGGGUUAUAAACGCUGAGAUGUCUUUUAGGAGACGAUUUUUGGCGUCAUAACUCUUUUUUACCGACCAAAAUUUGAUUUUAACUAAUCAGAUCGUGGGUGCCGGUAAUAUUUACUGUGAAUAAAUCAGAGUGUUCAUGGCAGGCCGUAUGGGCUUAAAUAUCUCAGCAUGGAAUAAUAGAAUAGGACUUAUGGUUCUAUUUUGUUGGUUUUUGGAGCCGAAGUAAU